Molecule: ribosomal RNA, 500 nt
Filed under: uncultured bacterium
Lineage: Bacteria
Description: partial 16S ribosomal RNA
Rfam family: Bacterial small subunit ribosomal RNA
Source: RNAcentral
AUUGAACGCUGGCGGAAUGCUUUACACAUGCAAGUCGAACGGCAGCACGGACUUCGGUCUGGUGGCGAGUGGCGAACGGGUGAGUAAUACAUCGGAACGUGCCCAGUCGUGGGGGAUAACGUAGCGAAAGCUACGCUAAUACCGCAUACGAGCUAAGGAUGAAAGCGGGGGAUCGCAAGACCUUGCGCGACUGGAGCGGCCGAUGGCAGAUUAGGUAGUUGGUAGGGUAAAGGCCUACCAAGCCGACGAUCUGUAGCUGGUCUGAGAGGAUGAUCAGCCACACUGGGACUGAGACACGGCCCAGACUCCUACGGGAGGCAGCAGUGGGGAAUUUUGGACAAUGGGCGCAAGCCUGAUCCAGCCAUUCCGCGUGCAGGAUGAAGGCCUUCGGGUUGUAAACUGCUUUUGUACAGAACGAAAAGGCUCUGGUUAAUACCCGGGGCUCAUGACGGUACUGUAGGAAUAAGCACCGACUAACUACGUGCCAGCCGCCGCUGUAA